This 371-nucleotide ribosomal RNA is filed under the name uncultured bacterium. RNAcentral describes it as "bacterial SSU rRNA". It matches the Rfam family "Bacterial small subunit ribosomal RNA", at positions 527 to 896 of the family's 1533-position model. The record is from RNAcentral.
GUAGGGGGCAAGCGUUGUCCGGAUUUACUGGGCGUAAAGAGCGUGUAGGCGGCCAAGCAGGUCUGUUGUGAAAACUGGAGGCUCAACCUCCAGACGUCGACAGAAACCGUUUGGCUAGAGUCCGGAAGAGGAGAGUGGAAUUCCUGGUGUAGCGGUGAAAUGCGCAGAUAUCAGGAAGAACACCAAUGGCGAAGGCAGCUCUCUGGGACGGUACUGACGCUGAGACGCGAAAGCGUGGGGAGCGAACAGGAUUAGAUACCCUGGUAGUCCACGCCGUAAACGAUGGGUGCUAGGUGUGGGGGGUGUCGACUCCCUCCGUGCCGCAGCUAACGCAUUAAGCACCCCGCCUGGGGAGUACGGCCGCAAGGCUA